AAUGAAAAUAUGUCAUAAUACCAAUGUGUAUCUACUCUGAAUGAAUGCGACCAAUGAGUUGACCAACGUUAGGUACAUUUCCGAACUGUUUGUUCAAACCUUUAUUUUACCUUCACGUAGGGUGAAGAGGGUGAGAGAAAACGGAUACCCUGUCCUUUGGACAACAAACACACUGUAUUUGAAGAUAAUUUGACUAAACACCUGAAGAAGUGUAACUCCAAGGAGAAACCAAAACCUAUUUAUUACGUAAAGGAUAUUAAUGCUGGAUGUGCAAGUGAAGAUGAAACGGUUAAAGAGAUAUCCAUUGCUGAUCGAACCAAAGAGGAACUGGAUGACUUGAUUGUGAAGCUCAAAAAUGCAUUGCAAGGACUAAAUACUAAGCUCAUUGAAAACACACUUUCACAUUCUGCUCUACACGAGUCUCUAAAUGAUCCAAAGAAUGGAGACUCUG
Non-coding RNA from Danio rerio (zebrafish), 451 nucleotides. NCBI's taxonomy places the organism in Eukaryota, Metazoa, Chordata, Actinopteri, Cypriniformes, Danionidae. The record is from Ensembl.